GGGGGUGUAGCUCAGUUGGUAGAGCAUCUGCCCUGCAAGCAGAGGGUCAGGAGUUCGAAUCUCCUCACCUCCACCA
RNAcentral lists this transfer RNA (76 nucleotides) under Clostridia bacterium. Its description in RNAcentral is "tRNA-Ala". It matches the Rfam family "tRNA". Rfam says of the family: Transfer RNA (tRNA) molecules are approximately 80 nucleotides in length. Their secondary structure includes four short double-helical elements and three loops (D, anti-codon, and T loops). Further hydrogen bonds mediate the characteristic L-shaped molecular structure. tRNAs have two regions of fundamental functional importance: the anti-codon, which is responsible for specific mRNA codon recognition, and the 3' end, to which the tRNAs corresponding amino acid is attached (by aminoacyl-tRNA synthetases). tRNAs cope with the degeneracy of the genetic code in two manners: having more than one tRNA (with a specific anti-codon) for a particular amino acid; and 'wobble' base-pairing, i.e. permitting non-standard base-pairing at the 3rd anti-codon position. The record is from RNAcentral. Lineage: Bacteria; Bacillati; Bacillota; Clostridia.